Bombina bombina (fire-bellied toad) is the source of this 3842-nucleotide RNA transcript. It is a transcript of the gene named solute carrier family 17 member 9, with no coding region annotated. The transcript has 14 exons. The record is from RefSeq and is a predicted model, not a curated record. Lineage: Eukaryota; Metazoa; Chordata; Amphibia; Anura; Bombinatoridae.
AAAAGGAAACCAGAGCCAAACUGACACGUGGAAAAAGUUUGACUCUGAUGUAAAACUCUAAUCCCUCCCAGCUGUAGAAAAAAGCUUUCAGCGGUACAACUCACGGGCUGGGCGGUAUCAGGGAACUUCUCUUCAGCUCCUGAUGCCUAGGACUCUCAGUGUACUCCAGCACCGUGUAACUCUCCGGUUGUCUUUGCACGAACAUCCCUGCCCAGUGAUCCCACCGGAGCCCUAGGUCCAUAACGUGUGCCCCUGCAAGUUGUCCCAUUUGGUCCACCUUGCCUCACGGAACUGCCGCAGGUUCCCGCUUGUAUCUAAAGUCCUUGUUUUAUUUAUGAAUGUAUUUAUUUAGUCCUCGAACCGUCCCUUCUUAAAAUACUGUCUUGUUCCUAAUAUAUUCCUCUGUUUCCCUAUCUGGACUGUGCUCUGUGUUAGUGGAAUAGCCCCACUGAAUGGACUCUGUGGGGUCCAAGCAUAGCCAGAUGGGCUACAAGAGUGACGUGGAAUUCAUACUGCAAGAUGAACAGCCCCUUCUAAAGUGCCUACCUCAAAUGGAGCGAGUAAAGAGAGCUAGCGGUGACCCUUACUGGUCCAGACUAGACUCCCGGGUGUGGACUGUAACCCUGUUGCUGGGAACAUGUCUUCUGUACUGUGCCCGUGCCAGCAUGCCAAUCUGUGCGGUUACUAUGAGCGAACAUUUUGGAUGGAACAAGCAGCAGUCUGGCAUUGUCCUAAGCAGUUUCUUCUGGGGAUAUUGUGUCACUCAAGUUGUGGGAGGACACCUCAGUGACAAGGUUGGUGGGGAGAAAGUCAUACUCCUCUCAGCUGUAACCUGGGGUUUCACCACAGUGGCUACUCCCCUUGCUGCUCAUUUUACAUCACUACCUCUGCUGCUGGUCAGCUUGCUCCGAUUCUUGAUGGGACUUCUGCAGGGUGUACACUUUCCAGCCCUGACCAGUCUGUUGUCACGGCGGGUUCGUGAAAGCGAACGUGCUUUUACCUGCAGUGCUGUUGGCUGCGGUUCUCAGUUUGGGACACUAUUAAUGGGAGGUGUAGGGUCUCUGCUGCUUGAAGUUUAUGGCUGGGAGAGUGUGUUUUACUUUGCUGGCUUCCUUACUUUGCUGUGGGGCUACUGCCUUAGCACCUACCUGCUGAAGGAGAGUGAGAGGCUGCUGACAUUUGACGAUCUGGCUAAAGGAUUCUCACUUUCUGGACAAUCCAAUGUCAACUGGAAGAGACUCUUCAAAAAAGCACCUGUGUGGGCUGUGAUCAUCGCACAGCUAAGUGUUGCCAGCACUUCGUUCACUCUUUUCUCUUGGAUGCCAACAUUUUUCAAAGAAAGUUUCCCAGAUUCCAAGGGAUGGGUAUUUAAUGUUGUCCCGUGGUUGGUUGCAAUCCCGACAGCAGUUCUCAGCGGUCUUUUGUCUGAUUACCUCAUUAAACUAGGUUACAAAACCAUCUGGGUCCGUAAACUAAUGCAGAUCAUUGGAAUGGGAGCUUCCAGCAUUUUUAUUUUCUGUGUUAGUAAAACAACCAGUUAUUGGCGAGCUGUCUCUUUUGCCUCAGUUGCUGUUGGCUUGCAAACUUUCAAUCACAGUGGUAUAACGGUUAAUGUACAAGAUCUGGCACCAUCCUGCGCUGGUUUCCUUUUUGGUGUGGCUAAUACAGGAGGGGCUAUGCUUGGUGUAGUUUGGGUUUACCUGUCUGGUUACCUAAUUGAAACCACUGGAUCCUGGAGUCCAAUGUUUCACCUUGUGGUCGCUGUGAACAUCAUAGGUUUAAUUGUCUUCUUGGAGUUUGCAAAAUCAGAGCGAAUGGACAUAGAUACGAUACACAUUUAGAUGGGCCAAGAAUAUUGUCAUGUAGGGAUUCUGUACCUGCUGUGGCUGAGCCAUAUGCUAAAGAGAAGGUGGUACAAGUAGCAAUUGUACUGCUUACUACUUACAACUGGAAUGGACAUGAUAACACUUAACAGAGGUAAACUGUUGGUAUCUGGACACCAACAAGCACAGAUGCAGCUUUCUCCAAAGAGAUUAAAGCUUUAACCCUUCAGCAGCUAUUAGCUUGAAGUUUAAGGAAGUAGCAAGAAGAAAAUACUAAUUUCAUGUCAAUGGAUAUCAAAGACAUAAUCACAGAACCAGUUUUUUUUAUACAAAACCGGUUACUACCUUCUAUUAAGGAACAUAAGGAACAGGUCCUCGCAAAGGCCAAAAUGCUACAACUAUUUCUUUAGCUUCUUGGCUACAGCUCUUGAUCCGCAAGGCUUACUUGGAGGUUUUGGUUUUGCAUCGUAUAGAACACUGUAUUCAAAAGACUGUUGCAAUAUACUCUUAUUGUCAAAUAUUUUCAAUUGUUAGACAUUUUACCUUUUAAUAUUAUAAUCUAGCCCAAGUCCUCCAGAAGAGACCAGUAAACUGCCAAUAAGUGUGAUCGUAUGUACAGAUCAGAAUCCCCCAAUAUGACCACCAGCACAUGUGCACUGCCUCUGAUACAUCACCAUAAUGCUCAUGUAGUUCAAGACAGGGUGUUACUGUGAAUGAGUAGGCUGGAUGAAGGGCCGAGCAAAGUAGCAGUAGCUUUGUUUCCAAAUCAGCCUGCAUUCUUCAAUCACUGUAACUGCAUCGUUUGACUUGUAAAGAUUGCCGUGUUAUUCUCUUAUUAAUAUAAAAGAAAUUUCGAUUGGAAUUUAUUAAACAUAAAGAUUAAAGAUAACACAAAUUAUUUGUAAUCAAUUUUUUUAUUUAUGAUGUAUACAUAAAAAAUAAGCAAAAUCACAAUAUAGCACAAAAUACACGACAAUCUGUCAAUGAGCUUUCCAUGGCUCUGCUGAUUGUAGCACUUUGUUGAAACAAAUAAAUGGAGCGGCUGUCAAUCUCCUUAUAUAGAAUCCUCCCAACUUAAUAUGUCACUGUAAAUGACAUUCACAAUGUUCUGCCUAAACUACCUAUGUAGCUUUUGUCUAGAACGCCCCUUCCCCAUGAGUUGUUAUUCUGCAAAAUAAGGCUGAAAAGGCAGUACAUUUCAAUUGUCUUUUGAUCUAAUAGUGCCAGACUACCUAUUUUAUGGAGGGCGGAUCAGUCACUGCAGCCUGGAACUAUUUUACAUUAUAAACCGUAUGUUUUUAAUAUUUAUUUUGCAAAAACGGGACAGUUAUAUAAAGAGGUUGGAACAUUUACAUGUGUGUGUUUUAUGGCUCUUAUUUUCUAUACCUUUUAGUGGCCAGGAGUUAAAUCCCAGGAGUAAUGGCCCUGUUACUCCAUAAAAUAAAUUUUAAUUUAUUAGGUAAGGAUAAAUUUUGUUUCGGAAAAGAUGCAGGGGAAGCGGUGUCGCUCCAGUCCGAGAGUAGGAGACAGGAACCAAGAGCCAAUCCGAGCAGUACUCCAAAUUUCUGGAUAGCGCAAACGUGCGCCGUAUGCAGCAGCGUGGUGCCAACCACAAGAUGGCCGAGCCAACCAGGACAAAGUCAAAGGAAAAAAAGCCUAUGAUUAAGUGCCGCAUGGCACAAAACAUGUAAGGUCUCCUCCUCCUCCAACCAUGUUUUGCAUCACGAGUGUUGCUUUUUAAAUUGAUGGAAUAAAGGAUUGUUUUUUUUACCCUGAAGUUUUGUGCCGUCUGCUCUUUUUUUUUUUUUUCCUUAUAAAUUUUGUUUUCCAUGCCCUUACUUUCCCAAAUAUUUUAAGAUUCAAAAGUUCUUCCUACAAUCUUGUAUAUCAACUAUGAUAACUUGAAAGAAUUUUUUUUUUCUCCAGAAAAAAACCCAUACCAUCGGAGCCUGUAUUUGUCAGCAUUACAAAACUGUGUAUGUAAUAUGAUAUCAUAAUAAAAUUAUUAAAAUGCCAAAA